GUUGAACGCUGGCGGCAGGCUUAACACAUGCAAGUCGAACGAGUAGCGGACGGGGGAGUAGUGUCUGGGAAACUACCUGAUGGAGGGGGAUAACUACUGGAAACGGUAGCUAAUAACGCCUACCAUCGGAUGUGCACAGAUGGGAUUGGCUAGUGGGUGGGGUAAGGGCUCACCUAGGCGACGAUCCCUAGCUGGUCUGAGAGGAUGAGAAGCCACACGGGAACUGUGACACGGUCCAGACUCCUACGGGAGGCAGCAGUGGGGAAUAGUGGAAAAUGGGCGCAAGCCUGAUGCAGCCAUGCCGCGUGUGUGAAGAAGGCCUUCGGGUUUUAAAGUACUUUCAGCGAGGAGGCGUUACGCGCAGAAGAAGCACCGGCUAACUCCGUGCCAGCAGCCGCGGUAAUUC
Molecule: ribosomal RNA, 406 nt
Filed under: uncultured bacterium
Lineage: Bacteria
Description: partial 16S ribosomal RNA
Rfam family: Bacterial small subunit ribosomal RNA
Source: RNAcentral